AACGAACGCUGGCGGCAGGCCUAACACAUGCAAGUCGAACGCUCCGCAAGGGGAGUGGCAGACGGGUGAGUAACACGUGGGAAUCUUCCUAUCGGUACGGAAUAGCUCAGGGAAACUUGGGGUAAUACCGCAUACGCCCUUCGGGGGAAAGAUUUAUCGCCGAUAGAUGAGCCCGCGUCUGAUUAGCUAGUUGGUGAGGUAAUGGCUCACCAAGGCGACGAUCAGUAGCUGGUUUGAGAGAAUGACCAGCCACACUGGGACUGAGACACGGCCCAGACUCCUACGGGAGGCAGCAGUGGGGAAUCUUGGACAAUGGGCGCAAGCCUGAUCCAGCCAUGCCGCGUGAGUGACGAAGGUCUUCGGAUUGUAAAGCUCUUUUGCCAGGGACGAUAAUGACGGUACCUGGAGAAUAAGCCCCGGCUAACUCCGUGCCAGCAGCCGCCGUAA
This 447-nucleotide ribosomal RNA is filed under the name uncultured bacterium. RNAcentral's name for it is "partial 16S ribosomal RNA". It matches the Rfam family "Bacterial small subunit ribosomal RNA", at positions 29 to 523 of the family's 1533-position model. The record is from RNAcentral.